CCUACGGGUGGCAGCAGUCGAGAAUCAUGCACAAUGGGGGAAACCCUGAUGGAGCGACGCCGCGUGGGGGAAUGAAGGUCUCCGGAUUGUAAACCCCUGUCAUGGGGGAGCAAAUUAAAAAGAUAGUACCACAAGAGGAAGAGACGGCUAACUCUGUGCCAGCAGCCGCGGUAAUACAGAGGUCUCAAGCGUUGUUCGGAAGCACUGGGCGUAAAGCGUGCGUAGGCUGUUUCGUAAGUCGUGUGUGAAAGGCGCGGGCUCAACCCGCGGACGGCACAUGAUACUGGGAGACUAGAGUAAUGGAGGGGGAACCGGAAUUCUCGGUGUAGCCGUGAAAUGCGUAGAUAUCGAGAGGAACACUCGUGGCGAAGGCGGGUUCCUGGACAUUAACUGACGCUGAGGCACGAAGGCCAGGGGAGCGAAAAGGAUUAGAUACCCGGGUAGUC
This 446-nucleotide ribosomal RNA is filed under the name uncultured bacterium. RNAcentral describes it as "partial 16S ribosomal RNA". It matches the Rfam family "Bacterial small subunit ribosomal RNA", at positions 338 to 795 of the family's 1533-position model. The record is from RNAcentral.